AGCUGACGACAGCUGGGCUUCCUCCGAGGGCAUUUAAUUGCAGGCGCAGCUGGGGAAAGCUGAGGAGCUCUUCUUCCCGCCUUUUUUUCUUUCCUCCCCCCUCCCCCGCCCGUCGCGCUCCUUCCCCUCAGCUCACCAGGGGCGGCCACCUUAGGAGAAGCGAAAAGUCCCCUCAGGAGGCUUGCCUCUCCCUUGAGUGGGGCGUGUGGGGAGAGAGAGGCAGCACAUUUUUGGGGCAGAGAUGUCAGGGGUCGUGGUAAAUGGAACUCAAGUAAGUGCCUCCCCACUCACCCACCUAACCCUAUUUGUUUGACAGAAACGGUUGGUUGGGGGGGUCGCGUCUUUCGUUGAAGCGUCUCUCAGUUUCGCUUUCUUAUCCCGCCCCCUUCCUUUCUCAGCCUCUGCUUGGAGUCCUUUAAAACUUCUCUCUCGUGCUUCCUAUUACCCAAAACGCCUGACUUCUCCCCCCCGCCCACGCCACGAGGAGGGGAUGAAGAAGGGGAAGAAUUUCCCCUCCCUUUUUUCCUCAUGGCGUCAGGCCCCCUUGUCCCAAGUCAUGGGUUCAAGCUGGGUAUGGAAAAGCUCUCUCAAAUGACUAUUAUUAUUAUUAUUAUUAUUACAUCCUAUUGGGGAGCAGUUCCUGCUCAUUACAGCUGUUUUGAACUUUCAGGAUGAGACAUAGACAUGACUGGUGGGUGAAGACUUGCUUUCCUCUUCUCUUCUCCUGCCCCCCUCAGCAAUAUAUCACAGCUUCUAUAGCCUACAUAUAGUAGUGGUAUUUAAAAUGAGAGUUAUCACAGUGUCCCCUUUUUUGCUCUUCAAAAUAUGGCAAACCUAAAUGAUAAUAAUAAAAAAUUUCAUUGCUAGAAAAGGUGCCCAGACAUUCUGUUGUGGUGACCAUAAUCUCCAUUUAAGGUGCCAUUUGGCAAGUAGCUUAUCUAUGUGAGUUUCUUACACUGCAAGUAAGUGUGCACAGGAUUAUGGCAUAGCUUUCCAAACUGUGUGUCGGGACACGUUAGUGUGUCAGCUGCAGUGUGUAGGUGUGUUGUACAAACGCUCCCCAUGCUCCUCCCAGGGCUGGAAAGGGGUUAGUUUAACCUCCGGUUUGCUAGUAAAACUGAAUUACUGUGUCAUGAAAUGAUGCAAAACUGAAUUACUGCAUUGCGAAAUGAUGCAUGUCUAAAAAGUGUGUCACCAACAUGGAAAGUUUGGAAAGCUCUGGAGUACAGGCUUGGUACACUCUCCUUUGAGGCUAUUUGUCAGACUGAGUGUGAAGCAGGGCUCCUGUGCCUAAUGCAUUCAAGGGAUUUAGAUACAACUUCUCCCAUCAAGGUACUGCAGUUAUAAGAAGCCUUACCUACCAAAACUCUCCCUUUCCAAUGCAUGUAUUAAACUGUCUUAAUACAGCUUAGAAGCUCUACAUGGCCAUGGGGUUCUGGAGCCUCAGACCUCUUUAGUGUGCCUGAACAUCUGUACGUUUCCUGAGUACCGUACAAGGCCAUGGGCAUAUGGGAGAAUCUCUUAUGUCUGUAGCCUCAUGUAUUCUCUAUGAACUUAUUAAAAAAACAAACAGCCCCCCAAUAGUCUUAGAAGGUGAUAGAUUGCAACUUUGCGUGGAGUCUCUUCUCCCUUUCCUUGGAGGUAACAGACAUAAGCAAUAUUUGUGUGCAUGGGUUCCCAGACAUCACCUCUUUGGAACAGGGCUGUGCCCUCAAGCUCUUACUGUAGGGGUAAUGUCCUCUAACUGUUGCUUUAAACUUCACUGUGGAUGCAGAGUAUAUAUUCUGCUUACUAGCAGAGGGUUUAAGUUUCUCUGACCCACAGAUAAACUGAUCAAAACCAAGCAUGCUUUUAAGGUCCUCCCCCCAUUGCUGCUAAAGGGGCUGUGCAUGUCUUAUAUGGAUAAGGAGCACAUGUAGAGUUUUGUACACAUUGCUUGGUAUGCAACAACCCUGUAAUACAGGCCAGCUAUUUUAUCUUGACUGUUGCAGGUGGGAAAAGGCUGAGGAAGAGUGGCUUGCCUAAGGGCCACUUACUGAGUUCACAACAGUUGUAAGAUUUGGACCAAGGGGGCUUCCAGCAAGCCCAUUGAGAAUGGCUUGCUUUCUUAACACGUUUUGUAAAACGCACUUUUGCCCAGGUGUUAAUACUAAUUAGUAUUCCUGCCAUUAUGCUGCAGCUGCUACCAACGUCCUCAUUCCAACAUGCUGCACUUUAAAGCCAUGUGUCUGUGGGGAGGGUUCGACACAUGUUUCAGAUCAGUUGUGGGUGCUGACAUAGUUACACUGAAGUUUUGCUUGCAAAACAGAAAAUAAUAAAAUUGCACAUAGCUGUCAUGAAAUUAAAUAUGGUGUUUGUGUGUUCUUUUUAUUUUGAAAUAGGGGAUUUACUGCCCAUGCCUCAACUUCCAUUUUCAGCAUAGAAGUAACCAUUUUCAGGUGUGUGUGUGUGUGUGUUUGUUCUUUGUUUCUGCAAGAUAGAAACAUACGUAAACAGUACGCAAAGAUACCUACAAACUUUGUAUCAAUUUUCUUUCUUUUUUUGAAAAACAUUUUGCACGGAUUACAAAAACGUCUGAGGGUAGACAGUAGACUUUUCACUGAGAUAGCAACUAAUGAAUUACAACCAUAAAAGAGCUCUGCUGUACCAGACGAAAGAACUUUACUGCCUCUGAACAUGGAUGUUCUAUUUUUGCUAAUAGCUAUUGAAAAACCUAUGUUCUCCACAAGGUUUGUCUAACACCCUAUGCUAAUGAUCACCACUGUCUCUUUUGAUAAUGAUCUGUUGUGUAGAAAAGUCCAUUUUCUUGUCCUAAAUAAGUUGUGCUGUUGAGCAAUCCUGUCUGAUCCUUCUUUCUUGAUAGGCUUGAUGGUCUUCACUAUACAGUCGUACGUCUGCUCCCAAACACCUUGGGAGUUGAAAGUUUCGGCUCCCGAACUAUUGAAAACUGGAAGUGAGUGUUCCGGUCCUUGAACAUUCUUUCGGAAGCCGAACAUCCAACAGGGCUUCCAUGGCUUCCGAUUGGCUGUAGGAACUUCCUGCAGCCAAUCAGAAGCUGCGCUUUGGAAGUUGAAAGGACUUCCGGAACGGAUUCUGUUCAACCUCCGAGGUAUGACUGUAUACAUGCUAAACAUUUUUUCAUGAUUAUGGAUAAGAUUCAUUUUAGAGCACUAAAUCUGGAGCUGUCUCUUGCUUGCCACAACAUUUAAAAGGUGUGGUCCCUAAAAAAUGAAGAAUCGGUUACCAUAGUUUGACUAUAUACAUAUUUGGAAGUAAGUCCGAACACAUUCCAUGGGAUUUUUAUCCUGGUAAGUGUAUUUUUGGAUUACAGUCUAAAAGCCAGAGCCCAUGUGAAUUUAUUCAGAAGUAAAGCAGUGCUUGAAAUUCACAAUUUUUGUUUUGCAAUUGGGGUGGGUUCAAUUGCCACCAUGUGGAGAUCUCUGGAUGCCAGGCUGGUGACUGACAUCUCCAUCUGGCUGGCCUCUCCAACUUUCCUAAGAUGGUGAGCACAGAAGAGCUUAUUUAUUGCACUUAUAUCCUGCCUUUUUCUCCAAGAAGUACAUGGUUCACACCCCUCCUCAGUUAAUCCCUACAGUGACCUUGUAAAGUAGGUUAAGAGGCUGUGACUGGCCCAAGGUCACCCAAUGAGCUUCAUGAGUGAGUGGGGAUUAGAACCCUGAUCUCCUAGGUCCUAGUCCAGGGGUCAGCAACCUUUUUCAGCCAUGGGCCGGUCCACUGUCCCUCAGACCUUGUGGGGGGCCAGACUAUAUUUUGGAAAAAAUAAUAAUGAAUGAAUUCCUAUGCCCCACAAAUAACCCAGAGAUGCAUUUUAUAUAAUAGGACACAUUCUACUCAUGUAAAAACACCCUGAUUCCCAGACUGUCCGCAUUUUGAGAAGGCGAUUGGGCCGCAUCCGGCCCCCGGGCCUUACGUUGCCUACCCCUGUCCUAGUCCAAUACACUAACCACUACACCACACUGACCUCUUAGAGUACUUCUGCUAUGGGACAGUUAUCUACAGUAAAUUAAGUAGGCAAAUAAAUAAAUAAAUAUGGGCUUGAAUAUGAAUUGAAUUGGUUUUUAUUCUGGAUUGUUUUUAUUCUGGAUUGUUUUAUUUGAUGUUUUAAUGUGUUGUAAACCACUUUUUUCUUUAAAAUAUAAAGUGGUAAAGAAAUGAAAGGAAUGAUAACAAUGAUAGGGUUGGCGUAUGUCCUCUUUUUCCAGGACAUGCCCUCCUUUUCAGGGGUAAAAUUUCUUUCUGGGUGGAUUUUUAAAAUUUGCCAAAAUGUCUCUGGCUAUACUUUCUGGAUGAGACGUAGGCAUGACUGGUGGGUGAAGACUUGCUUUCCUCUUCUCUUCUCCUGCCCCCCUCAGCAGUAGAUCACAGCUUCUAUAGCCUACAUAUAGUAGUGGUAUUUAAAACGAGAGUCAUCACAGUGUCCUCUUUUUAUGUUCUUCAAAAUAUGGCAACCCUAAACAAUAAUAAAUUUCAUUGCAAAAAAAGGUGCUUAGACAUUCUGUUGUGGUGACUGUAAUCUCCGUUUAAGGUGCCAUUUGGCAAUUAGCUUAUAUAUCUGAGUUUCUUAUACUGCAAGUAAGUGUGCACAGGAUUACGGCAGAGCUUUCCAAACUGUGUGUUGGGACAUGUUAGUGCAGGGGUCAGCAACUUAAGGUCCGUGGGCCGGAGGUGGCACGCGGAGGUUGUUUGACUGGCUCACGAGUCACCCCUGAACUGAGAUGCCCACUCGUGCGCUGCGCUAAACCGGCGAAGCACAGUGCGGGGACUUGCUUUCACUGCGCCGAAAAUCGUGUCUGCGCAUGCACAGACACUGAAAAUCGUGUCUGCGCAGACGCUGAAAAUCAUGUGUGCGCACUCAUGGACACCCGCAAUCCAGCCCACAGAGGUAUCUCCACGGGACCGAUCCAGCCCACACAAGAUAAACCUUGCUGACCACUGCGUUAGUGUGUCAGCUGUUUAGGUGUGUCAUGCAAAAGCUCCUCCCAGGGCUGGAAAGGGGUUAGUUUAACCUCUGGUUUGCUAGUAAAACUGAAUUACUGUGUCAUGAAAUGAUGCAUGUCUAAAAAGUGUGUCACCAACAUGAAAAGUUUGGAAAGCUCUGGAGUACAGGCUUGGUAUACUCUCCCAUGAGGCCGUUUGUCAGACUGAGUGUGAAGCAGGGCUCCUGUGCCUAAUGCAUUAAAGGGAUUUAGAUGCAACUUCUCCCAUCAAGGUACUGCAGUUUUAAGAAGCUUUACCUGCCAAAAUUCUCCCUUUCUAAUGCAUGUAUUAAACUGUCUUAAUACAGCUUAGAAGCUCUACAUGGCCAUGGGGUUCUGGAGCCUCAGACCUCUUUAGUGUGCCUGAGCCUCUGUAAGUUUCCUGAGUACUGUACAAGGCCAUGGGCAUAUGGGAGAAUCUCUUAUGUUUGUAGCCUCAUGUAUUCUCUAUGAACUUAUUAAAUAAACAAAGAGCCCCUCCCCCAUAGUCUUAGAAGGUGAUAGAUUGCAACUUUGAGUGAAGUCUCUUCUCCCUUUCCUUGGAGGUAACAGACAUAAGCAAUAUUUAUGUGCAUGGGUCCCAGACAUCACCUGAAGAUGUUAAGUGCACAUAACAUGAAUUCCUGCCUGCCUGCCUAAAAGGGUGCACUGCUUCUUUCCAGAAAACCAGAAGGACUUGUGGUCCCACAAGCUUCAUGUUCAGAGAGAUGUCAAGGUUGUUUUGCGCUGUUGUUUUGAUAUGACUUUUCAGUGGGAAUCAAAAUACAUUUUAGUGCUGGGAGUAGCACCCUCUAUUACUUCUUCAUGAAGCUCAUAGUUACACUAUGAAACUCUGUCUCACUGGUGGCAGUGAUGGCUUUAAAAGAGGAUUAGACAAAUCCAUGGAGGAGAGGGCUAUCUAUGGCUACUAGCCAUGAGGACUAUGCUCUGCCUAGUUGGAGGAAGUCAUGCUUCCAAAUAGCAGUUGAUGGAGGAGGAGAGUGCUGCUCUGCUGCAGGAAGGGAGACAGCUGUUGUGCUUGGGUCCUGCUUGUGGAUUUCCCACAGACAUCUGGUUGGCCACUGUAAGAACAGAAUGCUGGGCUUACCCCAGCACAAAUUAUGUAAGCCACUCUCCAUAUCACAGUUGCAUAAUGUAGCUGGUGAAAUGGUGCAGAGUUUUUCUUAGACUUUGGUGAAAACUCCCCAAAUUCCGGUCAAACCAUACUUAUGUGAGAUGUACAUCAUUGUGGGCAAACUUAAAGUGUGGGGUUAAUCUACUGCAGCUUUCCCUGGCGUCCUCCAGCUGUUAUUGAACUACAACUCCUAUAAAUCUGGCCCAUUGGCCAUGUUGGCUGGAGCUAAUGGGAUUUGGAGUCCAGCAGUUGAGAGGGUACCUGGUGGGCGAAGGCUUCUUUACUACAUUGGGUGACUGCCGUCUUCAGAUUCUGACUUCAUUAUUUAUAUAUAGGCAAGGAGCAAACUUCUAAAUCCUUGAACUGUUUUGCUCUGAAGCAGCCUUGGGUGCUAUUUUCUUAACAGAUGUCAAUAGUCCUACUUGUAGAUUUGUGAUAAUGAUACUGAUACUGAUAAAGCUGCAGCUUACUCAUCUGCAUAACUAAACACUCCAGGGCUUUAAAAGUCUGCUCCUCUAUCAUAUAAUUGCACACCACUAAGGUCCUGCCUAUUUUCUUUUGAGUCCAAAUUCCUACUGACAAUAAACUUCUAGCGUACUUCCCCUACCUCACACUUUGGCCAUAGUGAAGUUGGACACACUUUCUGACUGCAGGGGAACUUGGUAUUUUUAAGAACCCAUUAACCCUUUGUGCAUCUUACAAGGUUAGAAUACAUGCUGAUCUUCAGCCUAUCCCUGCACAAAGUGCCUGUUUGGUGGGGACAGAUUGUCUCAGUCUACUUGGUGCCCACUGAACCUUGUAAAUUGGUUGGCUGGACGUGCUCUCCAAUCAUUCCAUGCAAUUUCUGAGACUUCUUUGUGUGGCAGCUUUCCCAUAUUCUAAUAUCCACAUGGUUGAAAGCAAAACCAUAUGGAUAUUGUAAGAAUAAAUCUGUGAGUAAACCUGCCACACAGCUGUGCUAUGUAAGUCAAGGCAACUUCUGAAGAGAGGAACAGCAGUUGUGUGGAGAAGCUGCUGGAACUAAACUGGGUUAAUUUAAAGGAAUUGUCAGAUAAACUUCACCCCAGAGUUUCAGGCUGUUAUAAGUCUCUGCUAAUCUUUCUUCUUGUGCUUUCUUUCUUGGUCUGAUUUUUGGCUUUAUAAAAGUACUUAGAUCACAAACCUAAGUGCUUUCUCAUGGAGGACAAAUUCUACUAAAACUAGUGAGUCCUUCUAGGACAUGUAAGUAAACAUGAUCAGGGUGGGAAUGCAAACAUAUCUACAUUCCACGAGUAUCAGUGGAAUGUAAGUACUUGUGUGUGCAGUGAAUUUUCCCUAAUGCUAGAGUACAGGGUCCCAUUUGUACACACUACUUCUGUUGCUGUACUUCUAUAUGAUGCUAGCAUUUCCCCUUUGUGUUGCUACAUAUAUGGAAGCCCUACUUGGACUCAUGGGGCAAUUUCACUGAUUUGUAGCAUGCAUGUUAUGAACUGGAGUUCUUAAGUAUAUUCUUAAGUAUAUUCAGAAUUGCUUCACCCAAUAACACCAGAUUUUCAAACAGAUUAUUUUAAGAGCUAUAUGAAAUGGUGGCUUUUGUUAUGUGGCGGUGCUGUCUUUAGGCAUGGCAGUGCCCAGCUAACUUUGUCAUUGCUUUAAGAUCUGUACCUUCCUCGCAACCAUUGUCCUUUACUUUGUCCCCUGAGUCGUCGUUAUCAUCUUCUUUAGUGAUCACUCAUAGCUGAGUAAGAUUGUCUUCCAUGAACAUGGUCUUAACAGUGAGUCUAUAAGUGACUGUGGAGGCCAAUUCCUCUAGACGUCCUUCCACAGUGGGGACAUAGGUUUCUGGGUGGGAGUUGAUUGUGAUGAGGGUUUGCCAAACAUGCCUUCCUCUUAACACAUUUCUCCCUUUUAUCCUGAAUUCGAGCAUCUUCAAAGUGCAUGACACCUUCGGUAAAGGCUGUUCUCCAACUGGAGCGCUCGCAGGCCAGUGUUUCCCAGUUGUCAAUGUUUAUACUACAUGUUUUUAGAUUUGCCUUGAGAGAGUCUUUAAACCUCUUUUGUUGACCACCAGCAUUACACUUUCCAUUUUUAAGUUCAGAAUAGAGUAGUUGCUUUGGCAGGCAAUAAUCAGGCAUCCGAACAACAUGACCAGUCCAACGAAGUUGACGUUGAGUAAUCAUUGCUUUGACACUGGUGAUCUUUGCUUCUUCCAAUACACUGGCAUUAGUUUGCUUGUCUUCCCAAGUGAUGUGUAUUGUUUUUCGGAGACACCGUUGAUGGAAUCUUUUGAGGAGUUGGAGAUGGCGCUUAUAAGUGUAAACAUAAGAGUAGCAUCCUGUCAACCAAGGAUGAACCAAAUGCUUAAAGAUCAUGGACAUAAAAAAUAAACAAAUCCCCAGUACCAGAAAUAUCAUCAUUAGUGUGUAAGUUCUGACAUCCUUGGUGGGCCAUUGAGAUUAAAACAUCUGUUUAUAAACUCUCAUUGGACUGGAGUUAGUCCAACAAAACAGUUUGGUCAAAGAAAUAAAUUUGUGUUUUUUAUGCCAUGUGGAGCCUUCACUCUUCAAAUAGGACCUCACCAGGCCAAUUUCAGUUGUGCAAACAGAAUGAUGUGGCAGCCGCUAUUAACUAGCUAUUGUCUUUAUCUGGAUUUACUAACUUGAGCUCACUGGAGCAGACAAUAGAAUAGUUGCUUGAAUCGGGAGCUUCCCUGUGCAAUCCUCUGCAGGUCUGCUCAGAAGUCCUAGAAAAUUCAACUUCCAGGCCAACAUUUAUAGGAUUGCAGUCUCGGUUGUGCUUUUACAGGGCCUGAAUCCACACUAGAAAUAAACAUUUCUUUUGACUUUGAAUUGGGUUUGGGGGGCUGGCUGUACUUUUUUGCAUUUUCCCCUGGUUUAUAUAUUAGGUGACCCCGUGUAUUUUUGAAACAGCUGGUUUUGCAGAAAGUUUGUUUACUCCAGUGCUUUUGAAUAUAUAAUUGUGGUAGUUGUGGUUGGAUGUGGCAAGGAGUGCAAGUUUGUUCCUUGGAGGCUUUAUGCAUCCCUUUUGAAGUACAAAGUACUCUGAAAUGGAUAUGUAUUUAGUGGUGGGAAAUUGUAAUAGCACUUUUAUGGUACUCUAGAGUGUUCAAACAAUGAAUUAUCACAGUUUUUUUAUUAUGACUCUUUAACUUUAUGCUUCAUAACUAGUUUCUUGAUUAUAACAAAUGUAAAAUGAGCGCCUAAUCUCACCUUUUAAUACUAUAUUUUGUCAGUAGUACAAUCCUACUAACUGAAUUGGCCCCAUAAGGUCUUGGGACUACUUUCUGUUGGACUUCAUUUGCAUGGUGGCAGCUCAAUCAUGAAAUGUCUUCCUGGCCAAGAAGAGCAGUAGUUGUUGUUAGAAAAUAAUGAGUUUACCUAGCACUGCUCUGUUCCAAACAGCCAUUUCAUCUGCUUGUAUCAACCAAAGAGUCUUGUGUAUGUAUGAUGGCAAGUAGAAUCAUUCUCCCUGCCCGAACUUCUAAGGAAGAUGAUUAAGGUUGCAAUCCCACUUACCAAGGAGUAAGUCCCAUGAACUCAGUGUGAUGUUACCUCUGAGUAAACAUGUAUAAGGGUGUGUUGCCAAUGACCACUAAAUAUAGGACUGGAUGCUGUUUAACAGAGGUGUCACCAUCUGUUGAGUAAUGAGGUGUAAUGGUGUCCUUUUUAUUUAAAAGUGAACUGAUUUCCCCCCCUCCUGUGCAUCCUACCCCAGUUAACUUUGGUCCAGUGCCAUAUCUAAUGUAAGCAGUGCCUAUAAUUCCAUCAUUAAUUUAUCCUUCUGAGUUAAUGAUUCCCAGCUGGCAAUCAUAUAUUGCCUUAAUUAAAUCAAGCACCUUUUUGCAUUUCCUGAGAGGGCAAAGCUGGACUCUUUUUUCCCCAGAGAAGGUGAGAGCACCUUGCUAAAAACGGAAUGUAUUUUUAUUUUAUUUUUACGUAUUUAUGAACACUUUAAUAAAAAUAUGUAAGUUUUAAUGAAAAUAUAAGAAUAAAAUUAGCAAAAAGUAUCCAUAAAAACAUCAAAAAUAGAGAUGCUCUUUUGAUUCGACUAAUCUCUGAGAUAACGCUUAAGUGGUACAGCUCAGACUGUCCCAGGAAGCUUCUCCACCUGUAACUCCUGUUAUGUAAUGGCUGUCAUGUCAUAGCCAAUGCAAUCCUAUCUAUGUGCACACAGUUGUCUCCAGUAAAGAUUCAAAGCAGUAUACAGUGGUACUUUGGGUUACAUACGCUUCAGGUUACAGACUCCGCUAAUCCAGAAAUAGUACCUCGGGUUAAGAACUUUGCUUCAGGAUGAGAACAGAAAUUGCGUGGCGAUGGUGCAGCAGCAGCAGGAGGCCCCAUUAGUGAAAGUGGUGCUUCAGGUUAAGAACAGUUUCAGGUUAAGAACGGACCUCCGGAACGAAUAAAGUACGCAACCAGAGGUACCACUGUACAGUAUUGCUAAUUUCCCAGAUUAUUGCUUUCAGUGAUUAUGUGUAUAAGAUAUGCAUAUGUGUGCACAGACAUACUAGCAUAUCCGUUAACAAUAAGAUAUUCAAGGUUCAGCUUUGGGAUUGGUUAUGAAAAGCAUGUUAUUUCAUUCAGUUGUACCCUUUCUAUGUAAGUUCUUGCCCAGGAAAUACAAUGUGGAAAACAAACAAACCCCUUACUCAACCAUAACUUAAUUGGGAGGUCCUCUUUGACACAAGCAUAGGGGAGUUAACAUCUGGCUCUUUGAGAUUGUUCUAUGUCAAGCAACUGGAAAUCUGAAAACUGACACUGGAAAAGAGGGAGUUUAUGUGCAGCAUUUUCUCCUGAUGAUAAAAAUAUGCUGCUGUCUUUUCCAGCCCCGAAGUGGUUACAUUUUUGUGUGUAUUAAUCUAAAUGCUUCUGCAUGCACAUGUGUCUUGUAAAUAGCUUUGGGAUCCUUUAGGGUGAAUGGCAGCAGACAAUUGGAAAAUGUUUACUGAUUCUGGAGUGGGAUUCCAAAUAAUUAGAUUGAAAUCUCUCUUCCUUUUGCUUUCUGGAGACUGUUAAAAGCGAGCCUUUGUCCUGAAGUAGAAUUUAUUGCAAAGGAAGGGAUGACAGAUGCCUUGAGAAGGGAGAGGAAAUUGCAAGAAUGAACUCUGAGCUUUUUAUUUUUUCAGCUCAUGUAUUCACAGUAAAACUAUUUUCUCUGUAGUUGACUAUCUCUUUCUCAGAUGAAGUUACUGAGCAAGGAUGAAUUAAAGGGGAUGAAGUGCUACAUUAUCAGACUGCAAUCAUUUUAAGACCAGCUGAACCACAAGGGUGAUUUGUAAAGUUAGGGGAUGCGGUGGCAAGUUGUCAUGUAGAGUAGGUUGUAUUUUGAAGAACAUGAAAUAUCAUCCAAACACAACUUGCCUGACUCUUAUUUUCUUGUUCUUAUCUGGAAUUUGAAGAAAUGGAAACUUAAAAGACAAAUGGGAACUCCCUAAGACCAAGUUCUUUAAAGAGUGCACUCUGAAUCAAGCAUAGACAUUGCUUUGCUGCUUAAAUUCUUCUGGACUAAAUAGGGAGUUAUCGCAAAUUAAACUUGCAAAUACAUCAAUUUUCAAAAAGCACUCGGUCAGCUUUUUCUGAAACUUUAUGUAAGUGGUUUGCUAUAGAGGGAUGAGCUCAUAUGGAUUCAUUGGAGCUUCUGAUUAAGCGCUAAAACUUCAACUGUUUUAUGUGUGGCAAGAUAAAAUUUCAGUGUGUCUUGUGCAACACUAUUCAUUGUUUAAUAACUGCUGUAUGUGAGAGCUUAAGAUUGGACUUCCUUUAAUCUUGUAAGUUAUUAUGUAUGGCAAUAAUGUAUUAUCUUUAUUAAGAGUCUGGCAUCUUGUUGUAAACAUCUGUGCGAAAUCUAUGGGAAAUCAGCAUUCCUUUAAAUUUUGAUGUUGAUGUAUAUUCACAAUGUACUGUUCUAUUUUAUUUUUUAUUAGUAAGAGAUGUACUUUUUUGUUCUGUUUUCUUUUUUUUCCUAUUCCUUUUCCUAAGUUUUCUUUGUGUGUCUAUGUUGAUUUUUAAACCAAUAAAGAUUGAAUUAAAAAAAAUUUUUUUUGGAUGUUGUUAACUAAGAAUCUUGCUUUAAUAGGCAUUGAUUGCUAGGAGGAGCUUGUUUUAAUGUGCAUUGGUGGCGGGGGGCUGCUGGAAAUGUAACACCUGCUUAGGGUUGAAGUUAAAGAGAAGCAAUUUGGUAGUUGGAAUGUAGCCGUUGAAAGUGACAGAAGCCUGAAUUUUGCACCUGAUGAUUUGCGAAAGGAGCAGGGUGGGAGGCUGUAAAUACACGAAGGUUGGUUUCGGAGAACAGAUACUUAUUUGAAACAUUUACAGCGUGCCUGCCUGCUUUCCCAUACUCACUUUGUAUAUUUAAAAACAAUGUAGAUGAAAACAAAAGUAGAUGAACAGAAAAAUGCUCCACUUACUACUCUUUGCUUACAAGAAACAAAAUCUUUAAAAGAUGGCUUCUGGAACUUCCUUCCACACUGGGAGGUACGAAACACUAUAGUAGUUUCUUUUCAACUGUCUUACAUAGUUGUGAUUCGUAUUUAUUACUAUUAUUACUAUUUAUUAAAUUUCUAGACCACCCUUCACCUGAGGAUCACAGGGCGGUUUGCAAUAUAAAAGCACAAAAAUAUACAACACAGUAAGAAACAAAAGCAAUACCUCCCACUGUUUAAAAGGCCAUAUAUUGUUUAACCAGCCAAAGGCCUGGAAGAAGAGAAGAAGAAGAAGAAGAGUUUGGAUUUGAUAUCCCGCCUUUCACUCCCUUUAAGGAGUCUCAAAGCGGCUAACAUUCUCCUUUCCCUUCCUCCCCCGCAACAAACACUCUGUGAGGUGAGUGGGGCUGAGAGACUUCAAAGAAGUGUGACUGGCCCAAGGUCACCCAGCAGCUGCAUGUGGAGGAGCGGAUACUCAAACCCGGUUCCCCAGAUUACAAGACUACCGCUCUUAACCACUACACCACACCACAGAGGAGUGGUUUUGCCUGGUGCCUAAAGAUGUGCAACAAAGUGCCAGGUGAGCCCCCUAGGGAGAGCAUUCCCCAAGUAGGGAGCCACUGCAGAAAAGGCCCAUUCUUGUUUUGCCACACUCCAGAUGUCUCGUCCAGUUAGGUUCAUGUUUAACUGAUAGGGUAUUAUGGUAUGAGCUGUCCUGAAGAUUGCUGCCUGAUUUCUCCCCUCUGUUUGAGAACCCAUUAGGUUGUAUCCAGUGAUAGACAGACUCAGAGUAAACACAUUGAAAUUGAUGGACAUGGCUUGCUUAGGUACAUUAAUUUCAGUGAAUCUACUUUGAGUAGAAUUUAUUUGGCUACAACCCAUUGUCGUGGUCCAGCUGCAGAUAUGACAGUGUACUAAUGCAGAGUUGUUACUGGUAGGUUGGGUGUGGAAUGAGUACACAUUUUUGUUUCCAGGUGAGAGCCUUGCUUUACUGUUUCUACAUUUUACAUUUGUACAGUAGGUUUGCAGACACAAAGAUAACAGCUGGUAGACAAACAUAACUUGGGCUGGAUUGGAUGAUACAGACCGAUCACUCUCCUAUGUGUAAUGGCAAGGGGUGAGAGAGCACCUUAUCUUGCUGCUCAUGCAUAUACCUCAGAUACCAUUGUUUAUCCAUGUUUUAAUAAAAUAUUCACUUAUGGUCUACAUGUGCAAAAUUCGAAGCAUACAAAUUCACUUUACACAGUUGAUUCUCAUAUAAAAUUGUGUAGUGUCUUCUGAGCUUACACUCACUGGAUUUUCUGCAUGCAGGCCCCAUUGAAACAUUUUUCCAUUGCUUGGAUAACCAUUGGUGUUGGAGGCAAGGUAGGAACACUCCUGCUUUCCACCAGGUGUAGGGGAAAGAUCUGGCUCUGUAAUAUCCAAUCCAGCCCAUAGUGGUUAAGAGACCCAGGAAGCCCUCGAUUCAAAUCUUCUCAACCGUGAACACACUAAGGUGGCUUUAGGCAGGCUGUUAUCUGUCCGUUUCAAUCUCUUCCAUCUGUAAUAUCCUGAGGUAAUUUAAGUGAAGUACUAUGACCACAUGAAAACGAACUAUAGAAAUAAAUUGUUACUGUUUUGCAGAUACUUUAAUGUGUAUUGGCCCUAAGAAAUGUUGCCUGUCUCCUCUUCACCCCCUCCCUUUACUCCCAAAUUUUAGGGUGCUUGGCAUCUGAACAAAAUAAACUAGACAAUAAAACUGAGGCACUACACUAAUGAUGUUACGAAGCAGGAUACUAAAAAAUGCUAUCUCUUAGAUACUCUGCUGUUAACUCUGGAAAAGUUAAUUACAAUUUAGUAAAUAAGUUGUUCUUGAAACUGCAAAAUAUCCAACUUGAGCUGACCAUGGAAGUUGUUAAAACAGAUUCAUAAUGUGACAGGUGGAGCUAGACUAAUCUCAACAGUGCUAGCAGUUUAUUGUCCUGACAAUUGGGUGAAUACUUUCAUUUUGUUUCCUGCAUAUCUAGAUUUUCAAGGCAAUAGAUGUCUGAAGAUCGCAAAUCACCCAGCUGCUAAACUCUUUUGCCCUUAAUUCUUAUAGGUAUCUUAUAUCGGUCAAGAUUGCAAAGAAAUCCCAGCAUUCCUAGGAAGAAACUAUGGACGCAUUGCAAAAAGACUGGAUCUUAGCUUCAACUUGUUAAGGU
Non-coding RNA from Podarcis lilfordi (Lilford's wall lizard), 14715 nucleotides. The record is from the annotation of a GenBank genome assembly. NCBI's taxonomy places the organism in Eukaryota, Metazoa, Chordata, Lepidosauria, Squamata, Lacertidae.